ACGGCUCAGUAACACGUGGGUAACCUACCUUACACAGGGGGAUAGCCUUCCGAAAGGAAGAUUAAUACCGCAUAAGAAGUAGAUAUCACAUGGUAUCAGCUUUAAAGGAGUAAUCCGGUGUAAGAUGGACCCGCGGCGCAUUAGCUAGUUGGUGAGGUAAUGGCUCACCAAGGCGACGAUGCGUAGCCGACCUGAGAGGGUGAUCGGCCACAUUGGAACUGAGAGACGGUCCAGACUCCUACGGGAGGCAGCAGUGGGGAAUAUUGCACAAUGGAGGAAACUCUGAUGCAGCAACGCCGCGUGAGUGACGAAGGCCUUCGGGUUGUAAAGCUCUGUCAUCUGGGACGAUAAUGACGGUACCAGAGGAGGAAGCCACGGCUAACUACGUGCCAGCAGCCGCGGUAAUACGUAGGUGGCGAGCGUUGUCCGGAAUUACUGGGCGUAAAGGAUGCGUAGGUGGGAAUUUAAGUCAGAUGUGAAAUACCCGAGCUUAACUUGGGCACUGCAUUUGAAACUGAAUUUCUUGAGUGCAGGAGAGGAAAGCGGAAUUCCUAGUGUAGCGGUGAAAUGCGUAGAGAUUAGGAAGAACACCAGUGGCGAAGGCGGCUUUCUGGACUGUAACUGACACUGAGGCAUGAAAGCGUGGGGAGCAAACGGGAUUAGAUACCCUGGUAGUCCACGCUGUAAACGAUGGGUACUAGGUGUGGGAGGUAUCGACUCCUUCCGUGCCGCAGUUAACACAAUAAGUACCCCGCCUGGGGAGUACGAUCGCAAGAUUAAAACUCAAAGGAAUUGGCGGGGGAGCAC
RNAcentral lists this ribosomal RNA (807 nucleotides) under uncultured bacterium. RNAcentral's name for it is "bacterial SSU rRNA". It matches the Rfam family "Bacterial small subunit ribosomal RNA", at positions 102 to 924 of the family's 1533-position model. The record is from RNAcentral.